This is a long non-coding RNA of Mugil cephalus (flathead mullet), 4224 nucleotides long. RefSeq lists it as uncharacterized. NCBI's taxonomy places the organism in Eukaryota, Metazoa, Chordata, Actinopteri, Mugiliformes, Mugilidae. The transcript is spliced from 4 exons. The record is from RefSeq and is a predicted model, not a curated record.
UCUUUUGUUAAGUGUGUUGAAACGUUCGUGUACUUUCUCCAUUCCACAGCAUUUCUCUUGUGUUUCUUUCUGUUCUCCUCAUGCUACUUGAUGCAAUUAUUACAAUGAACAUUCGCAGGAGCAGCCUAUAGCCAGGAAAGCAGCAAGAUUUGUCAGUGCAACAUCAAGGAGCAGAGAUGCAGAAAGAACAAUCUGAAGACACUGUAGUCUGUGCCUUCUGUAGGCAAACAAAUGCUGGAAAACCACCCACUAGAUCACGUCUUCCUUUACGCCCUCAUCCCAUCGUCGCACUGGUGCCGUGACCCUUUGGAUCCUCAGAUCAGCUCCAUGCUGUCGUUGUGGCUGCUGUUGUGGAUCCAAACUGGAUACAAGAAAAUCUUUCCCUUGAUCCCAUCUCAGUUUCUCACUCUGACAUCAUAUGGGGUCCAUCAUGACUUGGCGCACACGCACAGGUUGUUAUUUAUUGAUUUCCUCCCUGACCUUAGUGAAUGAAUGAGGCAAAACGCUGCUUAGGUAGGAGCACCCCUGCUGAGUGUAGGCAGUCCUUAAUGCAAAUCAGGACUCAUUCAGUAUGUUUACAUGCACAGCUUAAUCAAGCUAUGCUCAAAAUUUAUCAUCAGCUGUAACAACUCUAAUAGCCUUCUUACGUUAACUGUGUAAUUAGCAUUUACUAACUUCCGAUACGGUACUGUACAGGACAUGCAAAAAACGUCAAUAUUAACACUUUUAAAGUGUCUAUAUGGGUUCACACUAUUAACACUCCUGUGUUGUUAUUGACUCUUUUUAUAGUUAAAAUUAAACACUUCUCAACACUAACCCGUGUUAGUUUCUCUCAACAGUAUUGUAUGUGUUAGAGAUAAACUUCCUCAUAUUGUCAAUUGUUAACUACUACAGGUGUUUGCCUCAUUCGUUCACUAACUUCAUAAAUAAUAAGUUGUACAUGUGUGCCAGGUCAUGACGCACACACAUAAAACAGAGCUGUUUGGUUCUGGAGCAGCAGUAGAGAUCCAUUAGAGACAAUGGAUGUUAAAAUGUUCUACUGGACCCCAGAUGUUGUCGGAGUUCUUUUGCAUAUAGAGCGCAAAACUGAGAUGUGAUCAAGAGAAGCAUUGGGUUGUCCCCAGUUUGGGGCCUGGAUCUCCUGUUUUUUUCUCUUCAUUCAGGGUCUUCCCAACCGUUGCUCUUGUUCCUGAUGAACCGUUCUUAGUCUGACCCUUCACCUAUAGGACCAACCUGCCUUUGGAGACGGCAUAGCCCCUAGGGUCAUUAGGGCACUCAAAUUCCUCCACCACGAUAAAGUGACGGUUCAAGGAGGAGAAAAUACUAUAAUGGCCACUAAUGGCCUUCCACUGGAUUGGCUGGGUGCUACACAGUAAGCAUGAGCUUGGUGUCUUCAGGAGGCUGAGACCUCCACCUGCAGCCACAGUGAGCUGAUCAUCUGGCUGUUGGCUUGAAGAGACCCGAGUCAGCGGAGGAGGUUGGACCUUCCAGCCCAACCUCUAAACUGUUGGUGACUAUGAGAAACAGGUCCUAUAUAAAAACUCCUGCUGGUAAUUUCAUGAUGUCAUGAUGACAUCAUCAGGAACAAGAACAGCCAAGCUCAUUUAUUUUUGUUCCUGAUGAUGUCAUCAUAGUUUCGCUAUGACAUCACUGGGAACUGAUUAUGACAGCGAUGACAUGAUGUCGCAAUGUAUUGAUUAGCUGCUGCACCUGUGUAGCUUAGCAAGAAAAUCACACAGUGAUUGACAUUUAGUGUUUGUUUGUGGCAGAAAGAACAAUUUGAGGACAAUGUAUGUGUCCAUGUCUUCAGCGGGCAGAUAAAUGCUGGAAAACCACACCUGGGAUCACGUCUUCCUCUACACCCUCAUCACAUCCAUUACACCAUGUGCUAACUGACCUUUCUUCUCAUCUCAGAUGCUGCAGUCUUUAGUUUUACUGUUGGCUGUUAACGUGAGCUGUCACACUCUUUAAUUUCAUCAUGUCAUGUUUUAACCUCACAUCUCCUCUCAUGGUGCUGGACCCUACCUACGCUGACUGCAGCGCUCAGCCUCCAAAGGCAAACUCCCUGCUCCAGGGCACUGGUUGAGGACCUGAAGGAAGGAGGAACAUGCAGUGGAGAGACUGAGCUUGGGAAAACUAGGAAAGUUUAUCCACAGACUGGAUGCCUAUCAAUGCAACAUCAAGUCUAGAGCUGGAUGGAUACGAGGGGAGUGGAAGAGGUUUCCAAGAACGCCCCAGGAUCCCACUGAUGAUGAAGGAGCAACUACUCCCACUCUUGACAUUAGUGCGUACUUCAGGAGCAGGGACCUGAAGGCACCAGGAGCCCCAGAAAAGACUUGCUUACUCCUGGCAUCAUAGUGGCCAGAGGAGCAGCCACAGGUAGAAGGUAAGUAAGUUCUUAAUUCUCUCAUCUUCACUGGAGACUCCAGGACCUGAAUGCAACACAAACCACAACGACAAGAGUUCCAGGAUCCAGAGGAGAAGCUAUUGUGACAGACAAUACAAGCAAGGAAUGCAGAGGGUGACCUAGCACAGAGAACACCAAGGAGGUAAAUGGAGAGGAGGACCAUCUGGAGGACACCACAAACCACAAAGCCACCUUCAACCCACCCCUGUGAGGAAAACGCACCAAUGGCCUGGAGCAGCUGGGACCCAUUUUAGAAAACCUAUUUUAAUGCUACAGCAUUUAUUAUUUUCAUUAUUAUUAUUAUUUAGAAGGCAAAUCCUGAAAUUAGAAUGUGCUUUGCUGAGGGAGCAGAGGUACAGAAACCAGCUGAAGACCAUCUCUGCGUCUCUGUCUUCUUCAGGCAAACAAAGACAGGUAAACCACUCUCUGGAUCGUGUCUUCCUCUACGCCCUCAUCCCAUCCGUGACACCGGUGCUGUGAUCCUUUGGAUCUUCAGAUCAGGUCCAUGUUGUCGUUGGCUACCCUUCCACAUCGCCACAUACUCAGGUUUAUAGAAGACUGUUGACGAUACAAACACACACAGCCUUCAGUUGCGCUUGACUCACAUGAACUAGUCACAGGAGCAAGUCAUAACAAUGUGUUGAUUUGCUGCUGCACCUGUGCAGCCUAGCAAGACAAUGACGUCCGUGUUAAGGGCACAUUGGAGAACAACACUUUAACACUUUUUGAUUGUUUACCCUGAGCUAGGUGGUGCCUUUGGAGUCAGCGAGUCAGUGAGUGAGGACAACGUAUGUGUCCGUGUUAAAUGCUGGAAAAUUUCACCUUGGAUUGUGUCUUUCUCCACGCCCUCAUCACAUCCGUUACAUGUGCUAAAUUACCUUUCUGCUCAACGUAGAUGCCACAGUGUUUAGUUUUCUGUUGGUUUUUAGUGUGAGCCAUCACACUGUUUAAAUUCCAUCGUGUUUCAACCUCACGUGUCCUCAUGGGCUGUGGGACCCUUUCUACGCUGACUGCAACGGUCACCCUCCAAAGACAAACUCCAGGGUUCUGGUUGAGGACCUGAAGAGCAAGCGUGCACAUUGUUUCUUAACCAAGGCAUGACCUCAGCAUAUUGUCUAAGAUUCCAGACACAUGAAGCAGCCUACAUAUUGUCAUAGUUUAUCCCUUUUUCACUAGAUGGUGCAUUGACAUAGACAACAGAAUAGAAAAGAAAAAUACUUUAUUCGGUCCCUGGAGGAAAUUCGAGUGUCCAGUAGCUUGUACACAAACAUCAACAUAACACACCAACAAUAUCAGCAAAAAAUCAACAUGUAAUAGCAAAAGGAAAAGGAAGAUAAUAUGAUAAGACUGUGUUAGCAUGUAUAUCUGUGCAAAAUAACUGAGUGGUGGUGGCUGAAACCAUAUACUUGGACCAUUUAAAGAGUGUCUACUCAAGCUACGUCAUCUAAUUAUUACAACCAGCACUCGCUGCAGGAGCAUACCUAUAACCAGGAAAACCGGAAGAUUGUCCAAGGGCUGUGCCUUUAUCAAUGCAACAUCAAGGUAAGCUUCAUGAUCCCGUCUCGCCUCAUUUUCUACUACCGCAUUCUCACUAGGGUCGCGGGGGUUGCCGGAGUCUGACGCAGAGAGACAGACAGCCAUUCACGUUCACCUGUACAACUGCAACGAUUUACAAUCACCAAUUAACCCAACGAGUAAGCCGGAGCUCCUGUACACAUCCCACGUAGACACGCAAACUCCACACAGAAAGCCCCCAGUCGGAUUCGAACCCGGACCUUCUUGCUGUGAGGAAUGUUCACAAUCAGACAAAAGAGAAA